AGAGUUUGAUCCUGGCUCAGGAUGAACGCUGGCGGCGUGCCUAAUACAUGCAAGUCGAGCGAACGGACGAGAAGCUUGCUUCUCUGAUGUUAGCGGCGGACGGGUGAGUAACACGUGGAUAACCUACCUAUAAGACUGGGAUAACUUCGGGAAACCGUAGCUAAUACCGGAUAAUAUUUUGAACCGCAUGGUUCAAAAGUGAAAGACGGUCUUGCUGUCACUUAUAGAUGGAUCCGCGCUGCAUUAGCUAGUUGGUAAGGUAACGGCUUACCAAGGCAACGAUGCAUAGCCGACCUGAGAGGGUGAUCGGCCACACUGGAAUUGAGACACGGUCCAGACUCCUACGGGAGGCAGCAGUAGGGAAUCUUCCGCAAUGGGCGAAAGCCUGACGGAGCAACGCCGCGUGAGUGAUGAAGGUCUUCGGAUCGUAAAACUCUGUUAUUAGGGAAGAACAUAUGUGUAAGUAACUGUGCACAUCUUGACGGUACCUAAUCAGAAAGCCACGGCUAACUACGUGCCAGCAGCCGCGGUAAUACGUAGGUGGCAAGCGUUAUCCGGAAUUAUUGGGCGUAAAGCGCGCGUAGGCGGUUUUUUAAGUCUGAUGUGAAAGCCCACGGCUCAACCGUGGAGGGUCAUUGGAAACUGGAAAACUUGAGUGCAGAAGAGGAAAGUGGAAUUCCAUGUGUAGCGGUGAAAUGCGCAGAGAUAUGGAGGAACACCAGUGGCGAAGGCGACUUUCUGGUCUGUAACUGACGCUGAUGUGCGAAAGCGUGGGGAUCAAACAGGAUUAGAUACCCUGGUAGUCCACGCCGUAAACGAUGAGUGCUAAGUGUUAGGGGGUUUCCGCCCCUUAGUGCUGCAGCUAACGCAUUAAGCACUCCGCCUGGGGAGUACGACCGCAAGGUUGAAACUCAAAGGAAUUGACGGGGACCCGCACAAGCGGUGGAGCAUGUGGUUUAAUUCGAAGCAACGCGAAGAACCUUACCAAAUCUUGACAUCCUUUGACAACUCUAGAGAUAGAGCCUUCCCCUUCGGGGGACAAAGUGACAGGUGGUGCAUGGUUGUCGUCAGCUCGUGUCGUGAGAUGUUGGGUUAAGUCCCGCAACGAGCGCAACCCUUAAGCUUAGUUGCCAUCAUUAAGUUGGGCACUCUAAGUUGACUGCCGGUGACAAACCGGAGGAAGGUGGGGAUGACGUCAAAUCAUCAUGCCCCUUAUGAUUUGGGCUACACACGUGCUACAAUGGACAAUACAAAGGGCAGCGAAACCGCGAGGUCAAGCAAAUCCCAUAAAGUUGUUCUCAGUUCGGAUUGUAGUCUGCAACUCGACUACAUGAAGCUGGAAUCGCUAGUAAUCGUAGAUCAGCAUGCUACGGUGAAUACGUUCCCGGGUCUUGUACACACCGCCCGUCACACCACGAGAGUUUGUAACACCCGAAGCCGGUGGAGUAACCUUUUAGGAGCUAGCCGUCGAAGGUGGGACAAAUGAUUGGGGUGAAGUCGUAACAAGGUAGCCGUAUCGGAAGGUGCGGCUGGAUCACCU
Molecule: ribosomal RNA, 1540 nt
Filed under: Staphylococcus aureus W64921
Lineage: Bacteria; Bacillati; Bacillota; Bacilli; Caryophanales; Staphylococcaceae
Also listed under: 2 other names
Description: 16S ribosomal RNA
Rfam family: Bacterial small subunit ribosomal RNA
Source: RNAcentral